This 782-nucleotide unclassified non-coding RNA is filed under the name Homo sapiens (human). RNAcentral describes it as "aarF domain containing kinase 5 (ENSG00000285451.2)". The record is from RNAcentral. Lineage: Eukaryota; Metazoa; Chordata; Mammalia; Primates; Hominidae.
GUGGCACCCUUAGGCCAAGCUGACUCAGGAGCCCUCGUGGAUUCCACAAGGAUGGUGUUUUGUUUCAUGCUCACAGUGGGGUCUAGGAGGGCUUGCAGGCAGUAAGUGCCAGGACCCGUGUUGGCGCCCGAGGAUCCCUGGCAUGUUCGGGGACGGUGAGGUGCCUGCCCGGGGAAUGCGCAGUGCGCCGAGGGCGGGACUGGAACCCUCCGCUCUCAGGAGGCGCGGUCCGGGCGCCAAAAGGUGCAGCUCUGUCAUUUCCACUCUGCUCUGCUGCACAGCAGGCAGAAGCCCUGGCCGUCCCCUGCUGUGUUCUUCAGGAGAAACGUCAGGGGCCUUCCUCCAAGGUUCUCCAGCCCCACACCCCUGUGGAGGAAGGUGCUCUCCACCGCGGUAGUGGGGGCGCCCCUGCUCCUCGGAGCCCGCUAUGUCAUGGCAGAGGCACGGGAGAAGAGGAGGAUGCGGCUCGUGGUGGAUGGCAUGGGGCGCUUUGGCAGGUCUCUGAAGGUCGGCCUGCAGAUCUCCCUGGACUACUGGUGGUGCACCAAUGUUGUCCUUCGAGGGGUGGAAGAGAACAGCCCAGGCUACUUGGAGGUGAUGUCUGCGUGUCACCAGCGGGCGGCUGAUGCCCUGGUGGCAGGGGCCAUCAGCAACGGGGGCCUCUACGUGAAGCUGGGCCAGGGGCUGUGCUCCUUCAACCACCUGCUUCCCCCCGAGUAUACCCGGACCCUGCGCGUGCUAGAGGACAGGGCCCUCAAGCGGGGCUUCCAGGAGGUGAGUGU